Long non-coding RNA from Pseudonaja textilis, 8136 nucleotides. RefSeq lists it as uncharacterized. The record is from RefSeq and is a predicted model, not a curated record. NCBI's taxonomy places the organism in Eukaryota, Metazoa, Chordata, Lepidosauria, Squamata, Elapidae.
CUCGGAUUGGGUGACCGGAAGCAGGGAGGGGAAGAUGGCGGAGUGAAGGGGAAGAAGUGGAGCGAGAGCUGCUGCGGGCUGCGGCCCUGGGGCCCCAGCCGGGGUCUGUGCCCCUCCAGACCCAAGCAUAUAUCAUAGUACUUGGAAGUCAAAAUUUGCAUUAACUGAAAGCUACAGGCAAAAAUGAUAAAAUGAUCAGUGCAGCAUGAAAUGAAAGAGAAAUUAUAAUGGAAUUGGAAGCAAACAAAUGUCCCUAUCAUCCAAAAGGGAGGAGAAGUCAAGAAUGAUCCAUCACUAAAGAUAAAAACUUCUUCAAGGUCUUUUCCUUUUGACCCAGGAGAUUCUGUUUCUUAAAGAGUUGUUAUUCCUGAAUGCCCAUCUUGAGAAGAAAACUCUUCCUUUAUUUCUCUAAAUGGAAAUGAAGACAUGUUGCUUUGAUUCUUUUACAUCUCCUCAUCAUAAAAAAUUACCACAUGAAGCAGAAUUAUACGGGAUGAAAGUACAAUCCUUGCAAAACAACUAAAAUGAAUAUAUGGACUCUCAUGUAAACCAGGCCUUUGCUUAUGGUUUUUGCCCUUUAAACAUGAUUGUGCAUUACAAUAUGAGUAAUUGUCAAUUCUUGUUAACACUUUGAUUCAUUCAGUAUACUUCAGUAAAACAAUUCACCACAAAAUCUUUGGAGAACUUAACAAAUUGGUAUAUUCUUGAAAUACUGUCUCAUAAAUCUUGAUGAAAAAAUGUGGCAGAAGAACCAUGAAUGUACAUGUGUUACAAAAGAUAAAAGAGAAGUAGUUUGAAAGAUUUUCCUUCCUUAAAAGAGCCAGUUUAUAAUUAGAUUUUAAUGGAAUCUUGAUGCAAGUAAAUCUUGAUGCAACUAUGUAAAGUUGCAUCAAUUGAAUUAUGCAUAAUUGAAUUAUAAAGCUGGAAAGUGGGGAUAUUAAUAAUAUGUCCCACAAAAUGAAGGUUGGAGACUUAAAGGUAUAGAAAGUAAGCCUUGGACAGUAGAAUUUACUUGGUAUCCCAUUUCUUUCCUAAGGAAUUCAACUAUAAAAGGAACAAUGACUUAAUUAUCCAGGCUUUUACCUGAAAGAAGGAACAAUGCCAGUAUAACCUUGUAUGUAAAACUCCACUGCAUGAACAAAAAUUAGGCAUGCUCAGGAAGGGCUUCUUUAUUAUUUCUUAAUAGGUCACCCAGAGUUAAGGUGGGAAUUGUGUUUUAAACAUGUUUUGCAGAACAUUCUUUGCAUCGUGUUUGUUUCUACUAGACUAUUUCAGGCUGGUUUAAAAGCUGCUUUUUACCACAAUGGGUGCAAAGGCCUAUGUCUUCUUCCCUUGCUGAGCCAUGGAGCACCUUAUUUCAGUUUUAUUAAAAGGUUAAUGUGGGUUUGCUGAUAGUUUUAACAAUAUCCUCACUCUUAGUUAAAGGAAGUACAUUUGUAACACAAUUGUUAGUCAUAGCUAAGAAUGUUGAAUGCUUUUGGCUGAUUGUUAUUUUUCAAAGUUAAAGUGGCUUCUAGAAGAACAUUUGGGAUGUUUGUAUAUUUUAAAUAGUUUAAUAAGGGGGAUAUGCCGAGCAAAGCAUUUAUAUUUGCUUGUCAUCAUGUUGUGUUUAGCUUAUAUAUGAUAAAAGAGUAAACAUUAUUUUUGCUUUAUUUGAAUAAAAAUGAAGUAGAGGUAGUCCUCAUUUAGCAACCACAGUUGGAACUGGCAUCUUGGUUAUUAAGCAAAGCAGUCAGUAAAUGAAACUGACCUGUUGUUGAGAUCUUACUUCCGCUUUCCUUUGCUUUACAGACUUGCAAAUAUAAAUACAAGGAUUAGUUAUAAAGUUACUUUUUCAUCACUAUUGUAACUGGCAUAAUAAGAACUAAAUAAGGACUACCUGUACAAUUGGUUUUUUUUAAGUGUUACAACAGAACACUUUCAGAGGGCUUAAACUCUAUAGCCACAGGACAAAAAUGAAAUAUUUCAUAGUCAAAAGAGUUGUGAAAUUUGGAAAUUUACUCAUACACAAGUUUAAAUUUUAAAAUAAUUUGGAUACCUUUUGGAUUUAUCAGGGCUUCAGAAGUAAAACCUAUCUUAAUGAAGUUGUUCUCUGAAACUCUUACUAAAAAUUAGAAAGCAUGAAUUUAAUCAGUUUUUUUGGAUGUUGCUUCAGCUAUUUAUACCUCAGAGAUUUUUGGGGAGAAGAUAAUACAGUACAUGGGGGGGGGGAUGUAAUUUAGUUUCCCCAAAUAAUUAGAAAACGAUCAUAUUGUUUAAGAAGAAAACCAAUUCUUUAUCUCCUUUCUCACUAAAUGCCACUGUAAUAAUGUAUCUAUUUCUAUUGAAUAGGACUGAAUUAAGAGUAAACCUAGCAUUUGAGAAAACAACAACACCACUGCUCUCUAUGCCCGGGAAAUAACUUUAGUUUAGUUAUCCAUGUGCAUCUUCUUAACAGUUCUAUUCGCAGGCAAUAUUGCCUUAAUUUUUUGUUUGUUUUACAUACUCAUCUGUUGUCCACCUUGGCAGGAAAUCUUUCACAUCUGAAAGAUGAAGCAAAUAUGGGGCAUGUGCAAUAGUAUAAUAUAUACAUAUAAAUAUAUUUUAAUACUUGUGGACAAAAUGUUACAAGUUGUUUGAGAACAACAAAAUCACCAAUGUCUUCCAUUUUAAAAUGUGUAUAGUUCCAUAAGCAUUAGUGCUUUGUAGCAAAACUGUAGUGCCAUGUUAGGAUCAGUGCAUGAGCCUAGUAGUACUUUUUUACAAUUUCAGAGUGACAAAUUAAUGAAGCUGAUGAUGUAACUUAUAGGAAACUGACAUGGUUAUGGUCAUGAUCUAAAGAUGCAGUGUCCUUUCUAGGCAAUGGUAGAAGAAACUGCUGCAUAGAAUCAGUGAGAUGUGAAUUUCAUAGUGAUUGCAUGAAAAUCUUUAACCAGCCAGGUAUAUUUUGAGUGCACUUAACUGCAUGUAAAAACCCUAGUAGAAGUAAUAAUCUUUAACAAAACCCCUUGUGAAUCAUGGAAUAUUUUGCUAUAAUGAGAAAAAAAAACUGAUAGUGUAAAUUUUUAAAUUUUAGGGACUAGAAUAAAGCAUAUGACUAGUCUUUCCCAUUCAUGCUUUUUUCCAGAAAAACUUUUGAUAUGUUUUUGAAUCAGAUUUGUUGAUUGUUUUUGUGCUUGCAUUAAGACAGGAAUUGGUAACCUUUUACAAUGUAAUUGUUGCUUGUAGAAACUGAAUGAUAGAUUGGAGCUUGCACAUAUCUGCCAAUGUGGCAGCUAUUAAUCAAGAGUAGCAUCUUGCAAAAUUGACUAUCUAGAAACACUGUCACUGUACUGCUAAUUCUGAAUGCAUCUAAGUUAUUAGCAUUGUUUAUUAUUAAAAUAUUUUUUUUGCUUACCUCAUUAUUUUGGUAAAGCAUUUGUUGGAGUUUUCUUACUAAUUAGUCACAUUUAUUUCUUGCAUCCAAAUAUCUAUAUAUUAUAGUAAUUAAUCUUAGUAGAUUUCCCCCCUCUUUUCUGAAAUUACACAGUUAGGUAACUCAUCUACUUUAUUUUUGGUUUAAACAAGUCAUGUUUUAAGUUAUGAAUCUAGUUCUUUGUGAUCUUUAUGGUUUAAAUGCUACUUUUAGCUUAAAGGGGAUACUGCAUCUUUUUUUAAAAAAAAAGAACUUCUCUAUAAAUGGCCACCUUGAUGAGAGAAAAGAUGUCUUUGACUUUGUAUUUCUUUAUUGGCAAAACAUAAUAUGAUACUUGUAACUGUAAUUCUGUAAAUUGCAGAAUUACAUUUAAAGAUCUCUCUAUUUUCUCAUUGAAAGUGGCAAGGUGUGUCGUUUGGAGAUGAAUUGUAAGGACCUUGAGAUCUUUUGGGGCUCUCUUCUGAACAGCAGUAUAAUUGAAUAAAAUGGGGCUGAUGAUUGGGAGAAUUGAUGGAAAAAUACCUCUGAAACUGGAAUGCAAAAUAGCACAGUAUGUGGGAGGGGGGGAAUCCCUGAUGCAAAUAAAGCCAUAAGAUGACAAUAAAUAGAACUUUAGUAGCAAUAACUGUUUGCAUGUAUUAGGAUGUAACUUGCAUUGGCAAGAAUAGUAUAGUAGAAUAAAUGGUAUUAACCAAAUAGGUUUGCUGUGCUCUGUGUUGCAGGAAGUUGAAUUUCUCAUUAAAAGUUGGUAAGUUCCUCUCUACCACAACACUAUGUGCUUGAAUGCUAUAGGGUGAAGCUUAGAAAAAUUUGAGAAUGAUUUUAUUUUUCAAAAAUGAUACAAUUAGGAAAGGUUUAUUGUGUGUGAAACUGAUGAGAACUUACACAGAAUGCUUAUAGAUAAUUGAUCAUCAUUUCUGAAGUAACUAAGAAUCCCUGAGGCUGGAUUCUGUCCAGGAAUAUAAUUUAGGAGUUUGGGGAUCCAAAUUUUUGAACCGAAUUGUGAAUUUCUUUAAAAGAAAAGUGCUUCUAUAAUUUAGUGCUUGUAUAAUUCUUGUAUUCAUUUUCUUUUAUAAACAAAUCUGAUCUGGUUUCAAUAUAUACUUUUUAAAUUUUAUAAAGCCACUUGUAGACUUGGAAGAAGGAGAGCAACUUUCAGUUUACUCUGUCUGGCAAACUCUUACCUUUAUCAUUCUAGAGAAUGCAGUUUAUAUCUCUUUAAAGUUCAGUUGCACGAACUUUGUAUGCAUGUGCAUACUGAAGACCAGGUAAACUAUAAAUCUAAUAUAGAAAUCUGCCAUAAGUAGGAUUUGAUUGACCAGAUUCAACUGCAAGGCUGGGACAUAUAUUUAAAGAAAGUGGCUUUACUUUUAUUUUUGUUUUACAUUCUUUGGUAUCAUUUAUCUAUAUGGAUAAGGUGGCAGUUUUAAAAUGAAAGGCAUAUACACGCAUGCAUGUUUAUAUACAUUCUAUAGAACUUUCUGUUCUACGUAUUUAUACUGAUCAAUGCAAAUUAGCACAAGUAUCUAAAAUAUUCAGAAGUUUAAUCAAACAUUUAGUUCAUGUUUUGUGACUUUUGAUCACAAAAUAGAUCGGAGGUAUUCAUUAAACUCAGUUUUCCUGGAAAAUUAUUUGCACUUAUGGUGGUUGUCUACUUGCUUAUUUAAAUAUCCAUUUGCAGAAUCCUGAAGGUAUCUUGUAUCUAUAUCAGUACAAUUUUCACUGCUCACAUUUUUUGAGCAGCUAAUUUACAAACCUUUUUCACUGUUCGCUCAGCUGGUGCUAGGCUGAAUAGAACAUUGCUCGUAAAAAAAUUUUUUACUCUCAUCUGAAUGUGAGGACUCAGGAUUGCAUGAAAGACUUGAAUGUGGUGCUAUUCUGGAAGAACUAGUUAGACUGUUAAUUGCUUGCUAAAGUGUCUAAAUCGCAGAACCACAGCCUCAUCCUAGAGUACAUUACUGCCUUGAUCUAAGUGAUAAGGGACUAUAGUAUUACUGGAAAUUCAGUACUGAAAUAUAUAUGAUUCUAAAUGCAGAUGAGAGAAAAUUCUUAAGUGGCUCUUCAUUGUACUUACUCUGCCUAUUCUCUGUGUAGUUUCUCCUUUCUUUAAUUGUAAUAAUUUUUUUGAUAGCUCUUAAUUUUUGACUGCAGAUCAGUUUCAUUGAAACAUUAAUAGUAUUCUUGAUGAAAGACUCCAUAGAGCUUGCAUUUCAUCCAUCAAUAUUUUAGUACUUUUAAAAAUGUUUAAUCAUCACUACCUACUCUCUAAAUUUAUGGUGAAAUCCAUUUUAAUAUAAACUUCCCUUUGGAUUUUUAGAUUUUCCUUUAUUUUGCACUUUGAAAAACAAUAAAUCAAUGUAAGCACAAUAUUGACGCAGGUGCCAAAAAAUAGUUCUCACAAACAGGCUUCUGGAAUAGAGAUUGCAAGUAGUUCUUUGAUGGUUCAGUCAAGAUCUAGAGAGGCUAAGCUGGUUUGAGGUUUUGCAUUAGGUUUGUAUGUUUGGGAUGGGUUCAGGAGGAGCCCAUAUAUAUAUAGAGAGAGAGAAGCAGGGAAUUGAACUGUUCCAGAAAUGUGGAAAAAUUGUGGCUACACAUAAUGCAUAGACUUAUACAAAGAUUGCUGGAAUAAAUACAUUGGUGUAUCUCUUAAUAAAGGGGGAUGAAAGAACACUUAUGCAAGGGUUUGUUAUUGGAAUCUGAAAAUAAUUAGAGAAUGCAUUUGGUUAUGGGAGGGUGACUAUUUCUUGCAUUCUGGAGAAGAAAGCUAUGUGCAGAGAGGAACUGAGUUCAUUCUAGAAACAUGGGAAAUGAAUGAUGGAGGCUUUGAAUCUGAGCACUUCCUAGCUGGUUUUAGAUGGAAUUUCCAAGUUUUCCAAGUCGCAGCACAACAAAUAUUCCAUAAAGUGUAGUAUUUCUUAAGGACUGGAUAUUGCAAUUCUUUUCUUUUCCAUGCAGGUGAAGAGGUUACAAAACUAUCAGAAUGGAAUACUUGUGUGGGAAAAACCACUGGCACAAGCACAUAGACUCACAAACCGUCUUUUUUUAGAGAUAGUAUUCUAAUUAUGCAUGAUUAAAAUGUAUAGUGUUAUAGCUAUUAUCAGUAAAUUGAUAUAUGCAUUUAUACAUUAUGAAGCAAUAGGAACCAAUAUACCAAUAGCUUGAAUUUACUGCUUUGAUUCUCAGUUUUUUUAGACAACAUGCUGCCUCUUUAGUAAAGGGGCAAAAUGUACAAAGAAGGGAUGAAGCAUGACGCCAAAACUGUGUAUUAGAAAAAGGAAUCAGUAGAAUGAACCCUUUUGGCCUCUUACCAAGUUCAUAGCCGCUCAUGAGCCUAUAUAAUAUGAACAUGGUUAAUGGUAAUUUGGGUUUCCUGGUUGCUGCAGUUGUACAAACAAAAAAGGUGCAGAGUUUCACAGCACAGAAAAGGGAAUACAUAAAUCCCAAAUGGGGCAAUAAAAAUGAUCUAAGCAGUUUAGGGUUUAUGACUAUUUUUAAGUAGAGAUAGUAAAUUUAGCCAGAGCUUUUUGCAGCUAAAAAAACAAUGAGUAAUUAAAAUGAGUAAGCUGUCCAUACUUUUCAGGUAUUAAUUCUUUGUAAGAUAGGUGUAGCUUUUCAGGUUUUUUCCCCCACCACUUUGGCAGCUGGAUUAAAAUGAACUGGGUUCAAACCAGCAAUAAUGAUAACUUACCUUAUGAAAAUUGGAGAUAUUUAAAUAUUAUUCAUUCAAGUUGUAUUUAAAUAGGGAGUAGCUUUUUUCAUCUGCUAGAGCAGGGCUGUCAAAUUUGUGGCCUGCGGGCCGGAUGCAUCACACAUUGGCCACGUCCAUGCCCGGUUUAGCAAAGGGAGAAAAAGUGAUGUGUCACAUGACACUGCUGUUGAUAAGACUUGAUUUUGAAAAAUUGGUGCAGUAGAACAGAUAAUAGAAAUAUAACAGCAUAGUUGUUGCAGCAAUUUCUGAGUUGGCACAUGCUUUUUCUAUUAAACUCUGCUAAAAAGAAAUUUCGAGUUUGAAUCUUUGGAUUGUACUGGUUUGCAAAAAGACAGUCUUCACUUAUCUGAAUACUACCCGUAGUGUAUCUCAAAGUUUGACCUUUUUUCUAGCUAUGAACAUUUGCUAAGGCAUAGUUAUGCAUUUUUGGUUUUGUAAUUUUCCCAGUUAUAUACAUUUCCAACCAUACUUUUGCACAACUAUUGCCAGUAAUCAGUAACUUCAUAUUACUACUGGUAGACCUAUUGAAGUUGUGAUUCAAACACAUUUAGAAAUGUAUUUCUCAUUUCUUAAGUUUUUCCUUCCAAAGUUGACUUCUUGUCAAUUGCUUGCAGGUGCUUCAAUUAUAAAGAGUAGGAUUUAAGAUUGGGCUACUAAAUGGAUAUACUUUUUUCAAAAUAAAAUGUUAUUCUGGUGUUUGAAAACUGUGAAGAAUUGGUAGCAAAAGAACUCUUGAAGAUAACCUACAAAAUGACUGGCAGAUUAGUAUGCCUUUUACUAACAGAUAAACUCAUCUGGAUAAGAAAGGACGAGUAUAAUCUAUUCCCUUAUAUUUAUUAAGUAUCAAUGUGAACAAUUUGUCUAUGUAUAUACCUAAUAUUUUCCAAAUGGCAGCUUGCUUUUAUAUCUAUGCAUAUUUGGGGAAGGGAAAGAAUGUGUUAAAUAUAUUCUUUUGACACUGUAAACAAUUGCUCAACAAUGAGCUUUGAAACUCUGCACCUGUGUAUAAUUUUUAGCAAUAAAGCAGCAUGAG